UUUCAUUCAGUACAGUAGCACAACCCAAAAUUUUUUAGAGAGAAAGAAAUUUGUGACGUUGAAAGCAAUUUUGGAGAGUAAGAAGAGAGUGGAGAUAAAAUGGCUCCUUCGGUGAAUGACCCACCCGCGUUUAUAUAGACAGAUUAAGAUCCCACUUCGUUUGCAGUACACAUGAAAUGCACCAUCUCGCGUGUACUAACAGUGACUUGGAACCAAUUCGUGUGUACUAACCUUGAUUUGGAACUAAUUCGUGGCCGCCGCCCCUGAUUUCACCAAUUCGCGGACGCCAGCCACUAAAUGGCUGCUCCACCAUUUCGUGUGCGCCGCACCAGAGGUGGCCUCUGCUGCUGUCAGGCCCAUUUCGCGGGCACCGGGGCUGAGUUGACGAGGAACUCCAUUUCGCAGGCGAUGUUUUUUAAAUAUUUAUUUAUAUAAAAAAGCCUCGGUUCUGUUUGCUCUGUUCGAUUCCUCGACGAUGAUUGCGUUUAGCUAUUUCUGCUACGAUUUCCGUGAUCUUAAUCGCUAUAUUUUUAUGAUUUUCUGUAAUUUCGAUUAUUGAUUUUGGUAAUAUGAUCUGCGUUUAGAUUGUUCGAAUUUUAGGUUAAACUCUGAUGAAACAACAACGGGCUUUGGAAAUAUCUCAGAUCUAAGAUCUAAAGAGAAGAUAAGGUUAACAAUACACUGAACUGAACACUGUUAGGUGGCUUUGCUCUUUAUCCAAAGACUAUUGAUGACUGAACAUCUUUUACUGCAGAGUUAGAUUAUGUAGUUUAUUGCAGGGAGCAUCCCUUAUCUGGAUCUAGGGUUGGGGGAAAGAGAAGAGAGAAAAUAUACCUCACAGAGAGGGAUGGGUUCAACUUAUUAACAAUUAGUAUAGAAACGGGUUAGAUGCGUUAGUUUAUUGCCUUUAGAUUAGUUUCUCUAAUCCCCAUAUAGUUUAAGUUUAUGAUAAAAUCAUAAGGUUUACUUUUGAAUUUAGUGUUGAAAAAUGUGAAUUUGUUAAUUUUGAAGUUUACUAGGUUUGAAUGUUGGUUGACUUAGUUCAUUGCCUUUAGAUUAGUUUCUCUAAUCCCCAUAUAGUUUAAGUUUACAAUAAAAUCAUCAGUUUUAGUUUUGAAUUUUGUGUUGAAAAAUGUGAAUUUGUUAAUUUUGAAGUUUACUAGGUUUGAAUGUUGGUUGACUAAGUUGACUUAAUAUACAGCAGGAAAAGGGUCAGCCACUACCUAAGUUUGGUGAAUGGGAUGUUAAUGAUCCAGCUUCAGCUGUUAGAUCCCGGCAAAACUGCGAGUAAAGGUAACCAAUGCUUGGCAAAGAGAGAAGCCUCCAAAAGAGCAUAGAAAGUGAGAUCAGAAGCAGCAUCAUCAGAGAGAUAAACACUCAGCUUCUCAGAAGGAUAGUCAUAAGCCAUAAGAGACAAGACUGUGUUGAUCACCAUUAUUGGUGGUUCAAUAUCUGGAUCUGCUGUGCACACAAAUAUGUCCACUUUUGGUUUUCCUAAACACUAAGUUCCACCGGAAGGCUUGAGCCAAGACCCAGUAGAGGCCGAACCAUAGCUCCGCCGCAAGCAACCCGAGCCAAGUCCAUGUCCCAUAGUAGUAAUCUUCGCCGCCGCCGUGGUCUUCUCCUCCGGUGGGUAUGUGGGUCAACCUGUAAGCAUAGACAAAGCAGAUGGCGACAAACAAAGACAGUGAAAACAGCCUAUGUAGGAACCUCCCUCUUGAUUUGGU
Arachis stenosperma is the source of this 1727-nucleotide long non-coding RNA. RefSeq lists it as uncharacterized. Lineage: Eukaryota; Viridiplantae; Streptophyta; Magnoliopsida; Fabales; Fabaceae. The record is from RefSeq and is a predicted model, not a curated record. The transcript has 3 exons.